This 1533-nucleotide ribosomal RNA is filed under the name Escherichia coli. RNAcentral describes it as "partial 23S ribosomal RNA". It matches the Rfam family "Bacterial large subunit ribosomal RNA", at positions 1 to 1568 of the family's 2925-position model. The record is from RNAcentral. Lineage: Bacteria; Pseudomonadati; Pseudomonadota; Gammaproteobacteria; Enterobacterales; Enterobacteriaceae.
GGGUUGUGAGGUUAAGCGACUAAGCGUACACGGUGGAUGCCCUGGCAGUCAGAGGCGAUGAAGGACGUGCUAAUCUGCGAUAAGCGUCGGUAAGGUGAUAUGAACCGUUAUAACCGGCGAUUUCCGAAUGGGGAAACCCAGUGUGAUUCGUCACACUAUCAUUAACUGAAUCCAUAGGUUAAUGAGGCGAACCGGGGGAACUGAAACAUCUAAGUACCCCGAGGAAAAGAAAUCAACCGAGAUUCCCCCAGUAGCGGCGAGCGAACGGGGAGCAGCCCAGAGCCUGAAUCAGUGUGUGUGUUAGUGGAAGCGUCUGGAAAGGCGCGCGAUACAGGGUGACAGCCCCGUACACAAAAAUGCACAUGCUGUGAGCUCGAUGAGUAGGGCGGGACACGUGGUAUCCUGUCUGAAUAUGGGGGGACCAUCCUCCAAGGCUAAAUACUCCUGACUGACCGAUAGUGAACCAGUACCGUGAGGGAAAGGCGAAAAGAACCCCGGCGAGGGGAGUGAAAAAGAACCUGAAACCGUGUACGUACAAGCAGUGGGAGCACGCUUAGGCGUGUGACUGCGUACCUUUUGUAUAAUGGGUCAGCGACUUAUAUUCUGUAGCAAGGUUAACCGAAUAGGGGAGCCGAAGGGAAACCGAGUCUUAACUGGGCGUUAAGUUGCAGGGUAUAGACCCGAAACCCGGUGAUCUAGCCAUGGGCAGGUUGAAGGUUGGGUAACACUAACUGGAGGACCGAACCGACUAAUGUUGAAAAAUUAGCGGAUGACUUGUGGCUGGGGGUGAAAGGCCAAUCAAACCGGGAGAUAGCUGGUUCUCCCCGAAAGCUAUUUAGGUAGCGCCUCGUGAAUUCAUCUCCGGGGGUAGAGCACUGUUUCGGCAAGGGGGUCAUCCCGACUUACCAACCCGAUGCAAACUGCGAAUACCGGAGAAUGUUAUCACGGGAGACACACGGCGGGUGCUAACGUCCGUCGUGAAGAGGGAAACAACCCAGACCGCCAGCUAAGGUCCCAAAGUCAUGGUUAAGUGGGAAACGAUGUGGGAAGGCCCAGACAGCCAGGAUGUUGGCUUAGAAGCAGCCAUCAUUUAAAGAAAGCGUAAUAGCUCACUGGUCGAGUCGGCCUGCGCGGAAGAUGUAACGGGGCUAAACCAUGCACCGAAGCUGCGGCAGCGACGCUGAUGCGUUGUUGGGUAGGGGAGCGUUCUGUAAGCCUGCGAAGGUGUGCUGUGAGGCAUGCUGGAGGUAUCAGAAGUGCGAAUGCUGACAUAAGUAACGAUAAAGCGGGUGAAAAGCCCGCUCGCCGGAAGACCAAGGGUUCCUGUCCAACGUUAAUCGGGGCAGGGUGAGUCGACCCCUAAGGCGAGGCCGAAAGGCGUAGUCGAUGGGAAACAGGUUAAUAUUCCUGUACUUGGUGUUACUGCGAAGGGGGGACGGAGAAGGCUAUGUUGGCCGGGCGACGGUUGUCCCGGUUUAAGCGUGUAGGCUGGUUUUCCAGGCAAAUCCGGAAAAUCAAGGCUGAGGCGUGAUG